UACGUAGGGCGCAAGCGUUGUCCGGAAUUAUUGGGCGUAAAGAGCUCGUAGGCGGUCUGUUACGUCCGCUGUGAAAACCCAGGGCUUAACCCUGGGCUUGCAGUGGAUACGGGUAGACUAGAGGCAGGUAGGGGAGAAUGGAAUUCCCGGUGUAGCGGUGAAAUGCGCAGAUAUCGGGAGGAACACCGGUGGCGAAGGCGGUUCUCUGGGCCUGACCUGACGCUGAGGAGCGAAAGUGUGGGGAGCGAACAGG
Molecule: ribosomal RNA, 253 nt
Filed under: uncultured bacterium
Lineage: Bacteria
Description: partial 16S ribosomal RNA
Rfam family: Bacterial small subunit ribosomal RNA
Source: RNAcentral